UCCUGCCGGACCUGACUGCUAUCGGAUUGAUACUAAGCCAUGCGAGUCUUUGUAGUAAUACAAGGCAUACGGCUCAGUAACACGUAGUCAACCUACCCUAUGGACAAGAAUAAUCUCGGGAAACUGGGCAUAAUUCUUGAUAGAUCAUAAUGCCUGGAAUGGUUUAUGGUUAAAAUGAUUCGUCGCCAUAGGAUGGGACUGCGGCCUAUCAGCUUGUUGGUGAGGUAAUGGCCCACCAAGGCGAUUACAGGUACGGGCUCUGAGAGGAGAAGCCCGGAGAUGGGUACUGAGACACGGACCCAGGCCCUAUGGGGCGCAGCAGGCGAGAAAACUUUGCAAUGUGCGAAAGCACGACAAGGUUAAUCCGAGUGAUUUCUGCUAAAGAAAUCUUUUGCCAGUCAUAAAACCACUGGUGAAUAAGGGGUGGGCAAGUUCUGGUGUCAGCCGCCGCGGUAAAACCAGCACCUCAAGUGGUCAGGAUGAUUAUUGGGCCUAAAGCAUCCGUAGCCGGCUUUGUUAGUUUUCGGUUAAAUCCAUGUGCUCAACGCAUGGGCUGCCGAAAAUACUGCAUAGCUAGGGAGUGGGAGAGGUAGACGGUACCCAGUAGGAAGGGGUAAAAUCCUUUGAUCUAUUGAUGACCACCUGUGGCGAAGGCGGUCUACCAGAACACGUUCGACGGUGAGGGAUGAAAGCUGGGGGAGCAAACCGGAUUAGAUACCCGGGUAGUCCCAGCUGUAAACGAUGCAGACUCGAUGAUGCAUUGGCAUAAUAGCCAGUGCAGUGUCGCAGGGAAGCCGUUAAGUCUGCCGCCUGGGAAGUACGUACGCAAGUAUGAAACUUAAAGGAAUUGGCGGGGGAGCACCACAAGGGGUGAAGCCUGCGGUUCAAU
This 889-nucleotide ribosomal RNA is filed under the name uncultured marine group I thaumarchaeote. Its description in RNAcentral is "SSU rRNA". It matches the Rfam family "Archaeal small subunit ribosomal RNA", at positions 12 to 906 of the family's 1478-position model. Lineage: Archaea; Thermoproteati; Nitrososphaerota. The record is from RNAcentral.